Molecule: ribosomal RNA, 231 nt
Filed under: uncultured bacterium
Lineage: Bacteria
Description: partial 16S rRNA
Rfam family: Bacterial small subunit ribosomal RNA
Source: RNAcentral
GUGUCAGCCGCCGCGGUAAGGCGUAGGGGGCGAGCGUUGUCCGGAAUUACUGGGCGUAAAGAGCACGUAGGCGGGAACUUAAGUCAGGUGUGAAAGACCGGGGCUCAACUCCGGGGUUGCACUUGAAACUGGGUUUCUUGAGGGCAGGAGAGGAAAGCAGAAUUCCUGGUGUAGCGGUGAAAUGCGUAGAAAUCAGGAGGAAUACCAGUGGCGAAGGCGGCUUUCUGGACU